This 75-nucleotide transfer RNA is filed under the name Myxococcus fulvus 124B02. RNAcentral's name for it is "tRNA-Gln". It matches the Rfam family "tRNA". From Rfam's summary of the family: Transfer RNA (tRNA) molecules are approximately 80 nucleotides in length. The record is from RNAcentral. Lineage: Bacteria; Pseudomonadati; Myxococcota; Myxococcia; Myxococcales; Myxococcaceae.
UCAGAACUAGCUCACCUGGUAGAGCACAAGACAUUGGAUCUUGAGGAGAAGGUUCGAAUCCUUCGUUCUGACCCG